CCUACGGUGUGCAGCAGUGAGGAAGAUUGGUCAAUGGACGAGAGUCUGAACCAGCCAAGUAGCGUGAAGGAUGACUGCCCUAUGGGUUGUAAACUUCUUGUAGAAAGGAAUAAAACGAGGAACGGGGGCCUUUUUGCAUGUACUUUAUGAAUAAGGAUAGGCUAAAUACGUGCCAGCAGCCGCGGUAAGAAGGAGGAUCCGAGCGUUAGCCGGAUUGAAUGGGUUUAAAGGGAGCGUAGAUGGGUUGUUAAGUCAGUUGUGAAAGUUUGCGGCUCAACCGUAAAAUUGCAAUUGAUACUGGCAGUCUUGAGUACAGUUGAGGUAGGCGGAAUUCGUGGUGUAGCGGUGAAAUGCUUAGAUAUCACGAAGAACCCCGAUUGCGAAGGCAGCUUACUAAACUGUGACUGACAUUGAUGCUCGAAAGUGUGGGUAUCAAACAGGAUUAGAUACCCCUGUAGUC
This 460-nucleotide ribosomal RNA is filed under the name uncultured bacterium. RNAcentral describes it as "partial 16S ribosomal RNA". It matches the Rfam family "Bacterial small subunit ribosomal RNA", at positions 338 to 795 of the family's 1533-position model. The record is from RNAcentral.